GUCUCAGUUCGGAUCGCAGGCUGCAACCCGCCUGCGUGAAGCCGGAAUUGCUAGUAAUCGCGGAUCAGCAUGCCGCGGUGAAUACGUUCCCGGGCCUUGUACACACCGCCCGUCACACCAUGAGAGCCGGGGGACCCGAAGUCGGUAGUUUAACCGCAAGGAGGACGCCGCCGAAGGUAAAACUGGUGAUUGGGGUGAAGUCGUAACAAGGUAUC
Molecule: ribosomal RNA, 215 nt
Filed under: uncultured bacterium
Lineage: Bacteria
Description: partial 16S ribosomal RNA
Rfam family: Bacterial small subunit ribosomal RNA
Source: RNAcentral